Molecule: long non-coding RNA, 1023 nt
Filed under: Struthio camelus australis
Lineage: Eukaryota; Metazoa; Chordata; Aves; Struthioniformes; Struthionidae
Description: lncRNA (ENSSCUG00000009963.1)
Source: RNAcentral
AUGAAUUUAAGAACCGAAUGGUGUCCACUAGAAACAAGAAAGGUCCCUCUGUGCUGGUGGGGCACUAGCAUGGAGCUUGGCGGUUGUUACAGUGCUUGCAGACUUCUGUGUUGGCCAAGUCCCAAUAAGGAGAAGCUUUGCUUCAUAGCAGCAGAGAAGUGGAGUAUCGAACCGCGAGGAGACCGAUUUUUGUCUUAUCUGCAGAUGACCUUAACAUGGUGCUGGCAAAUGCCCUUAAUGAAAGGAGCUAAGUUGUCCGUGCAAGUUCUUGACUAUGAAUAGCUCCCCCUGCCCCGCUAGCCCGGCGGGUUAGGGCAGUGCUGCCAACUGACCCUGUGUAACCGUCCCCGCACCGCUCUGCCACUCACUGCUGACUGCCAUCAGUGUGGUACCGUCUUCCCGGCUCUACUCACAUAUUAGGCAAAUUCAUCUUUUUUUUUUUUUCAUGUCAGUGAUACAUUCUCCAUUAUUUAGGCAAAGAAUAAUAGACAUGUUUAUGUGGACUUAACUGUCUGAAUCAUUUCUGAAUACCUCAGCACACCUCUGGGUUCUACAUAUGCCAAACAGUUCGUCAAAAUUUGAGGAAAAUCUCUCCCUUUGCAUCAUUUCACUGACUGAAGUCCUUAAGUUUGUUUUAUUUUGUGAGUGCAACAAGAAACAGGUGUAACUGAGCCACUGUGAGAUCCUGUUGGGUUCAGGGUAGUCAAACUAUAAUGGAUUUAUUAGACAGCCUUGAUCAACUUGGAGGUGAGUAGGUUGGACUAUAGGUUAAGUGUGAUGCCAGUUUCUGUACCAAAAGUAGUUACAUAAAUGUCCACCUAGCACAGACGUCACCCAAAUUGUUCAGAGGUGCUGGGGGUGCCAGCUUGAUUAGGAGAUCCGGUUCAGAAACCUGGAUUUAGCUCCUCUUGGGAAUUGGGCAUCGUAUUACAGUGUGUCACCUUACAAUAUUUCUGUCCUUCGUGCAAGUCUUGCAAAUUUCUGUUUGCUCGGAGCCAUGCAAUAAAUAUAUCCAAAAAUACA